This 139-nucleotide ribosomal RNA is filed under the name uncultured eukaryote. RNAcentral's name for it is "partial 18S ribosomal RNA". It matches the Rfam family "Eukaryotic small subunit ribosomal RNA", at positions 1299 to 1458 of the family's 1831-position model. The record is from RNAcentral.
UCGUGGAGUGGUUCGUCUGCUCGAUUGCGAUAACGAGCGAGACCUUAACCUGCUAAAUAGUUACGCUAUAUCUGUAUAGUGGCCAACUUCUUAGAGGGACUAUCGGUGCUUUAGUCGAUGGAAGUUUGAGGCAAUAACA